Molecule: ribosomal RNA, 398 nt
Filed under: uncultured bacterium
Lineage: Bacteria
Description: bacterial SSU rRNA
Rfam family: Bacterial small subunit ribosomal RNA
Source: RNAcentral
GGAAUCUUGCGCAAUGGGCGAAAGCCUGACGCAGCGACGCCGCGUGCGGGAUGAAGGCCUUCGGGUCGUAAACCGCUGUCGGGAGGGACGAAGCUCUGCCGGUACCUCCACAGGAAGCCCCGGCUACCUCCGUGCCAGUAGCCGCGGUAAUACGGAGGGUGCGAGCGUUGUCCGGAAUCACUGGGCGUAAAGGGCGCGUAGGCGGCGCGGUAAGUAGGGGGUGAAAUCCUGCGGCUCAACCGCAGCAUUGCCUUCUAGACUGCCGUGCUCGAGCACAGUAGAGGCAGACGGAAUUCCCGGUGUAGCGGUGGAAUGCGUAGAGAUCGGGAAGAACACCGGUGGCGAAGGCGGUCUGCUGGGCUGUUGCUGACGCUGAGGCGCGACAGCGUGGGGAGCAA